AUUGAACGCUGGCGGCAUGCCUAAUACAUGCAAGUCGGGCGAGCGGCGGACGGGUGUGUCACGUAUGGGGACUUGCUUGACGGCGGGGGUUACCUACUGGAACCGGUAGCUAAUACCGCAAACCUUCCGAUGAACCCUUAUGGGAUAAGCUAGUAGGUGAGGUAACGGCUAACAUAGGCGACGAUCCCUAGCUGGUCUGAGAGGUUGAUCAGCCACACUGGAACUGAGACACGGCCCAGACUCCUACGGGAGGCAGCAGUGGGGAAUAUUUCGCAAUGGGCGCAAGCCUGAUGGAGCCAUGCCGCGUGUGUGAAGAAGGUCUUCGGGUUGUAAAGUACUGUCAUUCGGGAGGCGGUACCGACAGAGAAAGCACCGGCUAACUCCGUGCCAGCAGCCGCGGUAAUAC
This 406-nucleotide ribosomal RNA is filed under the name uncultured bacterium. RNAcentral describes it as "partial 16S ribosomal RNA". It matches the Rfam family "Bacterial small subunit ribosomal RNA", at positions 30 to 526 of the family's 1533-position model. The record is from RNAcentral.